RNAcentral lists this ribosomal RNA (642 nucleotides) under Acinetobacter calcoaceticus. RNAcentral describes it as "bacterial SSU rRNA". It matches the Rfam family "Bacterial small subunit ribosomal RNA", at positions 56 to 693 of the family's 1533-position model. Lineage: Bacteria; Pseudomonadati; Pseudomonadota; Gammaproteobacteria; Moraxellales; Moraxellaceae. The record is from RNAcentral.
UGCAGUCGAGCGGAGUGAUGGUGCUUGCACUAUCACUUAGCGGCGGACGGGUGAGUAAUGCUUAGGAAUCUGCCUAUUAGUGGGGGACAACAUUUCGAAAGGAAUGCUAAUACCGCAUACGUCCUACGGGAGAAAGCAGGGGAUCUUCGGACCUUGCGCUAAUAGAUGAGCCUAAGUCGGAUUAGCUAGUUGGUGGGGUAAAGGCCUACCAAGGCGACGAUCUGUAGCGGGUCUGAGAGGAUGAUCCGCCACACUGGGACUGAGACACGGCCCAGACUCCUACGGGAGGCAGCAGUGGGGAAUAUUGGACAAUGGGCGCAAGCCUGAUCCAGCCAUGCCGCGUGUGUGAAGAAGGCCUUAUGGUUGUAAAGCACUUUAAGCGAGGAGGAGGCUACUGAAGUUAAUACCUUCAGAUAGUGGACGUUACUCGCAGAAUAAGCACCGGCUAACUCUGUGCCAGCAGCCGCGGUAAUACAGAGGGUGCAAGCGUUAAUCGGAUUUACUGGGCGUAAAGCGCGCGUAGGCGGCUAAUUAAGUCAAAUGUGAAAUCCCCGAGCUUAACUUGGGAAUUGCAUUCGAUACUGGUUAGCUAGAGUGUGGGAGAGGAUGGUAGAAUUCCAGGUGUAGCGGUGAAAUGCGUAG